Molecule: ribosomal RNA, 468 nt
Filed under: uncultured bacterium
Lineage: Bacteria
Description: partial 16S ribosomal RNA
Rfam family: Bacterial small subunit ribosomal RNA
Source: RNAcentral
GACGAACGCUGGCGGCGUGCUUAACACAUGCAAGUCGAACGGUGAAGCUCCAGCUUGCUGGAGUGGAUCAGUGGCGAACGGGUGAGUAACACGUGAGCAACCUGCCCCUGACUCUGGAAUAAGCGCUGGAAACGGCGUCUAAUACUGGAUACGAGAAGGGUCCGCAUGGGCACUUUCUGGAAAGUUUUUCGGUUGGGGAUGGGCUCGCGGCCUAUCAGCUUGUUGGUGAGGUAAUGGCUCACCAAGGCGACGACGGGUAGCCGGCCUGAGAGGGCGACCGACCACACUGGGACUGAGACACGGCCCAGACUCCUACGGGAGGCAGCAGUGGGGAAUAUUGCACAAUGGGCGAAAGCCUGAUGCAGCGACGCCGCGUGAGGGAUGACGGCCUUCGGGUUGUAAACCUCUUUCAGCAGGGAAGAAGCGAAAGUGACGGUACCUGCAGAAGAAGCACCGGCUAACUACGUG